RNAcentral lists this ribosomal RNA (507 nucleotides) under uncultured bacterium. Its description in RNAcentral is "bacterial SSU rRNA". It matches the Rfam family "Bacterial small subunit ribosomal RNA", at positions 20 to 518 of the family's 1533-position model. The record is from RNAcentral.
AUGCUCAGGAUGAACGCUAGCGGCAGGCCUAACACAUGCAAGUCGAGGGGGUAACAGGGAGUAGCAAUACUCUGCUGACGACCGGCGCACGGGUGCGUAACGCGUAUGCAACCUACCUUCAACAGGGGGAUAACCCAGAGAAAUCCGGACUAAUACCCCGUAUAGUAGCGGGACCGCAUGAUCUUGCUACGAAAGCUUCGGUGGUUGGAGAUGGGCAUGCGUGACAUUAGCUAGUUGGCGGGGCAACGGCCCACCAAGGCUGCGAUGUCUAGGGGAGCUGAGAGGCUAAUCCCCCACACUGGUACUGAGACACGGACCAGACUCCUACGGGAGGCAGCAGUGAGGAAUAUUGGUCAAUGGACGGAAGUCUGAACCAGCCAUGCCGCGUGAAGGAAAGAAGGCCCUAUGGGUUGUAAACUUCUUUUGUGCGAGAGUAAUAAGGUGGAUGCGUCCGCCGAUGAGAGUAUCGUACGAAUAAGCAUCGGCUAACUCCGUGCCAGCCGCUGC